This 143-nucleotide microRNA precursor is filed under the name Gossypium hirsutum (cotton). Its description in RNAcentral is "MIR7502 microRNA precursor family". It matches the Rfam family "MIR7502 microRNA precursor family". Lineage: Eukaryota; Viridiplantae; Streptophyta; Magnoliopsida; Malvales; Malvaceae. The record is from Rfam by way of RNAcentral.
UAUUAAAAAUUCAUCCAUUUCUAUUAUUAAAAAUUAGUGUAGCUAACUGAAUAACCAGACAGUUAUGCGUGAUGUGCCACGUGUACUUCAUACUAACAUAUGGAGAUUUUUUUUAAUAUUAGAAAUGGAUGUAAUUUUUAAUA